Long non-coding RNA from Bos taurus (domestic cattle), 967 nucleotides. NCBI's taxonomy places the organism in Eukaryota, Metazoa, Chordata, Mammalia, Artiodactyla, Bovidae. The record is from Ensembl.
AAUCUUCCCUGGUGGCUCAGAGGGAAACACAACAGAUGUCCAAUCAGUGUUUGACGACUGACCCCCCCUUCCAUUGUCAUCUUUAUUCUUACUUCUUCUUUGCCUUCUCCUCCUCAUCCUUUCCUUUCAGCAUUUCAUUCUCUUCUUUUUGCUCCCCUCUGUUCCCCUUUGCCUUGUUAAGUAUGGUAGGCAGCUGCUGACGUGGCUUCCUCCCGAUAUUUGCAGCCUUGUGUAAUCCCACUCUCCUUGGUGUGGGCUCUACCUAGUGACUUGCUUCUAGUGAACAGAACACAGUGAAGGUAAUGGUAUGUCAUUCCCGUGACUCGAUAACAGAAGACUCUCUUGUUAGUACACUCUUGCUGGCACUCUUUCUUGUCCUCUCUCUUGCUCCCUCUAAUGAAGACAGUUCCAUGUUGUGAGAUGCUCUACGGAGAGGCUCACAUGGCAAAGGAUCAAAAGAAGCCUAUGGCCAACAGCUCAUGAAGAAGUGAAGUCUCAGUUCAACAAUUUGCAAGAAACUGACUCCUGCCAACAGUGGCACGACUGAACGUGGAAGUGGAUCCUUCCCAGCUGAGUCUUCUGAUGCCAGAUGACUGCAGCCCAGGGCCACACUUUCAUGCCAGCCUUGUGACAGAGUCAGAGUCAGAGAACCCAGCUAAACCAUGCCAGACUUCUGAAUCAUGGAAAUUGAGACAAUAAGGGAUUUCCAGUAGAGUGACACUCCUGGCUUCUUGUCCCACCUGAUUGGUGCAUCUGGAAGAAGGAACUGAACAUGCUCAGCAGGUCUCUCUUAGGGGAGCUGCUUGCCUGCAGAGAAAGUGCAUUCUGGGCUUAAGCAGAGCAGGCUCUGCCCAUCAGUUUUGCCUGAUGUUGGGGGUGGGGGUAAGUUCAACUUAGAAGAGUAUUAGCAAGCUGUGUCCUCCAAAAGAGCUUCUUAUCGGUAAUAAAGCUGACACUUUGAUCUCCA